GACGAACGCUGGCGGCGCGCCUAACACAUGCAAGUCGAACGGAGCUGAGAGAAGCUUGCUUUUCUUAGCUUAGUGGCGAACGGGUGAGUAACGCGUGAGUAACCUGCCCUGGAGUGGGGGACAACAGUUGGAAACGACUGCUAAUACCGCAUAAGCCCACGAUCCGGCAUCGGAUUGAGGGAAAAGGAUUUAUUCGCUUCAGGAUGGACUCGCGUCCAAUUAGCUAGUUGGUGAGGUAACGGCCCACCAAGGCGACGAUUGGUAGCCGGACUGAGAGGUUGAACGGACACAUUGGGACUGAGACACGGCCCAGACUCCUACGGGAGGCAGCAGUGGGGGAUAUUGCACAAUGGGGGAAACCCUGAUGCAGCGACGCCGCGUGGAGGAAGAAGGUUUUCGGAUUGUAAACUCCUGUCGUUAGGGACGAUAAUGACGGUACCUAACAAGAAAGCACCGGCUAACUACGUG
This 468-nucleotide ribosomal RNA is filed under the name uncultured bacterium. RNAcentral's name for it is "partial 16S ribosomal RNA". It matches the Rfam family "Bacterial small subunit ribosomal RNA", at positions 28 to 507 of the family's 1533-position model. The record is from RNAcentral.